RNAcentral lists this ribosomal RNA (267 nucleotides) under Limosilactobacillus fermentum. RNAcentral's name for it is "Lactobacillus fermentum partial 16S ribosomal RNA". It matches the Rfam family "Bacterial small subunit ribosomal RNA", at positions 367 to 626 of the family's 1533-position model. Lineage: Bacteria; Bacillati; Bacillota; Bacilli; Lactobacillales; Lactobacillaceae. The record is from RNAcentral.
CACAAUGGGCGCAAGCCUGAUGGAGCAACACCGCGUGAGUGAAGAAGGGUUUCGGCUCGUAAAGCUCUGUUGUUAAAGAAGAACACGUAUGAGAGUAACUGUUCAUACGUUGACGGUAUUUAACCAGAAAGUCACGGCUAACUACGUGCCAGCAGCCGCGGUAAUACGUAGGUGGCAAGCGUUAUCCGGAUUUAUUGGGCGUAAAGAGAGUGCAGGCGGUUUUCUAAGUCUGAUGUGAAAGCCUUCGGCUUAACCGGAGAAGUGCAU